CUGCUAACAAAAGUAAUGACGCCCUAAAGUUGGGCAGAGAAACCAGCCCUGUCAGCACACCAGCUCCUCGCUGGGCUUCCUCUCAGGCUCUGAGGGCUAAUAACCCUCUGUGUUCAUGUGGGGCUUUGCCUCUGCGAACCAGCCGCUAAUUAGUUCCUCCACGGGCGUGCCCAGGAGGUCCAGCCCA
Molecule: long non-coding RNA, 187 nt
Filed under: Felis catus (domestic cat)
Lineage: Eukaryota; Metazoa; Chordata; Mammalia; Carnivora; Felidae
Description: lncRNA (ENSFCAG00000049039.1)
Source: RNAcentral